GAGAGUUAAAUAGUACGUGAAAUUGUUGAAAGGGAAACGAUUGAAGUCAGUCAUGCUAGUGAAAAUUCAGUUUGACGGGUUUUAGGUUUGGGAGUAGAGGCAGGGUCAAACCGUUUCUCUUUUGAACUUGGGAUUUGUCAGAUGCACUUUUUCUUUGGCAGGUCAGCGUCGAUUUCGGAGGUUGUAAAAUACUUGAGUUAAAGUAACUCUGCUUCGGUAGAGUAUUAUAGACCUUGAGGGAUGCAGCCUGCGGGAUCGAGGAUUGCAGCAAAUGCCUUUGGCUUGGCGCCUGAUCUCUGGAUGUUACCUCGCUUGUGACAACAUUCUUGCCUCCGGUGAGUACUAAUGCCCAUUAGGUUAGAGCGACCAGAAAUUUGCUAAGGAUGCUGACGUAAUGGCUUUAAACGA
RNAcentral lists this ribosomal RNA (408 nucleotides) under uncultured Diversispora. RNAcentral's name for it is "partial 28S ribosomal RNA". Lineage: Eukaryota; Fungi; Glomeromycota; Glomeromycetes; Diversisporales; Diversisporaceae. The record is from RNAcentral.